UUUUUUCUUCACGUUUUGCAUAUGGUCUAUAAAAUGUCAGAAAUGAGAGGUUGAUUAUUGAUGAAAUUAUUUUCCUUUGUCCUUGAAUGCAAUGUCCUCAUGAAGAACCAAAUAAAAAAAUGGUAUGAUCAUGAUAAUGAUCUGAUGUAGGUGAAUGAAAUUAAACCAACAAAAUAAAAGUUACUAUGGCUUUUACAAUGAAGACGAAACUAGGACAUAAAUGAGAUGAUACCCUAAUGGUGUAUCCACUAGGAAGAAAAAGGAGUACAUGAUGUCGUUACUAUUUCAACCUUUCCUAAUUGGUUCAACUUCAGAAAAUGACUUGUUAUUUUCUUGUCUCACUCUUUGUUUGCAUAUGAUGCUUUUCACAUCUCUAGUUAUGUGUAUAUCAUGAUAUUCAAACAAAAUAAGUGUUCCCUACUUUGAAAGAAAGAUCGGUUCAUAUAUGACUUGAGUUUAAUUUGGACCACUUAUUUUGGUAAAUGGUAUCUAACAUUGUUUAAUAUAUGGUGCUUGUAUAGACAC
RNAcentral lists this long non-coding RNA (525 nucleotides) under Trifolium pratense (red clover). Its description in RNAcentral is "long non-coding RNA (TPRA_LNC010423)". The record is from RNAcentral. Lineage: Eukaryota; Viridiplantae; Streptophyta; Magnoliopsida; Fabales; Fabaceae.